Molecule: unclassified non-coding RNA, 395 nt
Filed under: uncultured Mortierella
Lineage: Eukaryota; Fungi; Mortierellomycota; Mortierellomycetes; Mortierellales; Mortierellaceae
Description: sequence contains ITS1
Rfam family: 5.8S ribosomal RNA (bases 1-104)
Source: RNAcentral
GAAAUGCGAUACGUAAUGUGAAUUGCAGAAUUCGUGAAUCAUCGAAACUUUGAACGCAAAUUGCGCUCUCGAUUCACGUCGGGAGCAUGCCUGCUUGAGUGUCAGUAACCUCACCUCACACGCCACGCGCGUGUGGACGAUGGACGCCUUACUCUGGGGCUGCGUGCCCUCGUCGUCCGAAGGAUAGCUCUCUCGCGGCACCGCGCAUCCACACAAACACACACGCACACGCACACGCACACGCGCGCACGCAAGUGCCCGUAUGUAUGUCUGUGAGUGUGUGUGUGUGCGUGUGGUGCAGGCGCGUCGUCCACGUUCGUGUAAUGUACGUCAUCAGACGUUUUCCUCACGAGCGCGGUCGCGCACAUGCCGAGGUCGCCGCAUCGAUGAAGAAC